This 292-nucleotide ribosomal RNA is filed under the name uncultured bacterium. RNAcentral describes it as "partial 16S ribosomal RNA". RNAcentral also lists the same sequence under 1 other name. The record is from RNAcentral.
GGACUACUCGGGUUUCUAAUCCUGUUUGCUCCCCACGCUUUCGUGCAUGAGCGUCAGUGUUAUCCCAGGGGGCUGCCUUCGCCAUCGGUAUUCCUCCACAUAUCUACGCAUUUCACUGCUACACGUGGAAUUCUACCCCCCUCUGACACACUCUAGCCAUACAGUCUCAAAUGCAGUUCCCAGGUUGAGCCCGGGGAUUUCACAUCUGACUUAUAUAACCGCCUGCGCACGCUUUACGCCCAGUAAUUCCGAUUAACGCUUGCACCCUACGUAUUACCGCGGCGGCUGGCAC